AUUGAACGCUGGCGGAAUGCUUUACACAUGCAAGUCGAACGGCAGCACGGGGGCAACCCUGGUGGCGAGUGGCGAACGGGUGAGUAAUACAUCGGAACGUGCCCAGUCGUGGGGGAUAACGCAGCGAAAGUUACGCUAAUACCGCAUACGAUCUACGGAUGAAAGCGGGGGACCGUAAGGCCUCGCGCGAUUGGAGCGGCCGAUGUCAGAUUAGGUAGUUGGUGAGGUAAAGGCUCACCAAGCCGACGAUCUGUAGCUGGUCUGAGAGGACGACCAGCCACACUGGGACUGAGACACGGCCCAGACUCCUACGGGAGGCAGCAGUGGGGAAUUUUGGACAAUGGGCGCAAGCCUGAUCCAGCCAUUCCGCGUGCAGGACGAAGGCCUUCGGGUUGUAAACUGCUUCUGUACGGAACGAAAAGGCUCUGGUUAAUACCUGGGGCUCAUGGCGGUACCGUAAGAAUAAGCACCGGCUAACUACGUGCCAGCCGCCGCAGUAA
This 500-nucleotide ribosomal RNA is filed under the name uncultured bacterium. RNAcentral describes it as "partial 16S ribosomal RNA". It matches the Rfam family "Bacterial small subunit ribosomal RNA", at positions 30 to 523 of the family's 1533-position model. The record is from RNAcentral.